RNAcentral lists this ribosomal RNA (468 nucleotides) under uncultured bacterium. RNAcentral describes it as "partial 16S ribosomal RNA". It matches the Rfam family "Bacterial small subunit ribosomal RNA", at positions 28 to 507 of the family's 1533-position model. The record is from RNAcentral.
GACGAACGCUGGCGGCGUGCUUAACACAUGCAAGUCGAACGGAAAGGCCCUGCUUUUGUGGGGUGCUCGAGUGGCGAACGGGUGAGUAACACGUGAGUAACCUGCCCUUGACUUUGGGAUAACUUCAGGAAACUGGGGCUAAUACCGGAUAGGAGCUCCUGCUGCAUGGUGGGGGUUGGAAAGUGUCGGCGGUUGGGGAUGGACUAGCGGCUUAUCAGCUUGUUGGUGGGGUAGUGGCUUACCAAGGCUUUGACGGGUAGCCGGCCUGAGAGGGUGACCGGCGACAUUGGGACUGAGAUACGGCCCAGAAUCCUACGGGAGGCAGCAGUGGGGAAUAUUGCACAAUGGGCGGAAGCCUGAUGCAGCAACGCCGCGUGCGGGAUGACGGCCUUCGGGUUGUAAACCGCUUUCGCAUGUGACGAAGAGUGAGUGACGGUAAUGGGUAAAGAAGCACCGGCUAACUACGUG